This 351-nucleotide unclassified non-coding RNA is filed under the name soil metagenome. RNAcentral describes it as "partial contains 5.8S ribosomal RNA, internal transcribed spacer 2, and large subunit ribosomal RNA". The stretch from base 1 to 120 matches the Rfam family "5.8S ribosomal RNA", at positions 35 to 154 of the family's 154-position model. The record is from RNAcentral.
GAUGAAGAACGCAGCGAAAUGCGAUAAGCAAUGUGAAUUGCAGAAUUCAGUGAAUCAUCGAAUCUUUGAACGCACAUUGCGCCCGCCAGUAUUCUGGCGGGCAUGCCUGUUCGAGCGUCAUUACAACCCUCAGGCCCCCGGGCCUGGCGUUGGGGAUCGGCGGAAGCCCCCUGUGGGCACACGCCGUCCCUCAAAUACAGUGGCGGUCCCGCCGCAGCUUCCAUUGCGUAGUAGCUAACACCUCGCAACUGGAGAGCGGCGCGGCCAUGCCGUAAAACACCCAACUUCUGAAUGUUGACCUCGAAUCAGGUAGGAAUACCCGCUGAACUUAAGCAUAUCAUAAGCGGAGGA